CCCAAGCAUCGCAAACCCAAAACUCGUUCCAGGCCUGCAACCAGAUUAGCAUAUUAAUGAGGCUGUAAUUUCCCCGGAAUUGUCUGCGCGGCUAUGCCCGCUCACAGCGGCACUGGCCCAGGAGUUUGCUAUGCAAAUAAACUGGUUUUACAGGCUGUGGCUUAAUUAACUCAUCAAGUUCAUCUUCCUAACAAAAAAGGCAGACUAACUGCGGAUUAAUGGACCUGUGUUUGCUCUUCUUUCUCUCGCCCCGGCUCCCCGAGGCACCCGCUCCCUCCAGACCCUUCCCUUCCCGGCCCCGCGAGGAGAUAAAUCCUGGGAAAAGAGCCGGGGGGAUCGCAGCACAGCCUCCUGCGGAGUCUGGGAGGUUUCCUCAUCGGCUUCAAGGGGAAUAAGACGGCUCAGGCCUCGAGGAUGGCAAUUACGCCUCCGGCUGAAGCUGGCAGGUGACCACUUAUGAGGAGGAGGUGGCAGCGUCGCGGCGCUGUCCCCCGUAAGGCGGAUCAGAGGCUGGGUGUUUUGGGGACGGGGAUUAAGGCUCGGUGCCCAGGGCUGAUGAGAGGUGAGGGACAGCCGGCUGUGACACGAGCCGAGGAGCGGAACAGAAAAGGCAAAGGAGGAUCCGGCUUGGCAGCCAGGAAAGAAGCAAUUCACGCAAGGCAGGGUAGGAGGAGAUGUGCUGGAGGCAUCCUUUCCAGGAACGCUGCCUUUUUUCCCCGGACCCCGCCAAAAUCCUGAGCUGGAGACACACACAUACAGCAACACCGUGCCAGAAACGGCAGUUCCCCAGGACCCUCUCCCGUCUACCAGCACAGGGCCACCAGAGCCAGCUCUGGUUUCGAUGGUUUCACCAUCCUGCAAGGAAUUUCCCCACUACAAGCUUGUCUGCUUUCCUGUUAAUCACUUAAGCUCCUGCAGCGAGGAGUCCCAUGGGCAGCUCCGUGCCGGGAGGGACAACCCCUGUGGCUUGUCUUAAAUUUUGCUUCCACCAUCUCCAGCUCAGGAUGGGAAAGGGUAUUUAGCUUUGUGCUUUCUCCUGCCAGCUGUAGCAUGUAGGGAAAGCCUCCAAGGGCAGCACAAAAAGGAGAGCAGGAGCUCAGCAGGUCAGCCAAGCUGCCCCAAAGCACAUGGGUGAGCAGCA
This 1141-nucleotide long non-coding RNA is filed under the name Anser cygnoides (Swan goose). RNAcentral's name for it is "lncRNA (ENSACDG00005015551.1)". The record is from RNAcentral. Lineage: Eukaryota; Metazoa; Chordata; Aves; Anseriformes; Anatidae.